This 155-nucleotide small nuclear RNA is filed under the name Chelonia mydas (Green sea turtle). Its description in RNAcentral is "U1 spliceosomal RNA". It matches the Rfam family "U1 spliceosomal RNA". Rfam says of the family: U1 is a small nuclear RNA (snRNA) component of the spliceosome (involved in pre-mRNA splicing). Its 5' end forms complementary base pairs with the 5' splice junction, thus defining the 5' donor site of an intron. Lineage: Eukaryota; Metazoa; Chordata; Testudines; Cheloniidae. The record is from Rfam by way of RNAcentral.
UUAAUUGGGAGAUACCAUGAUCACGAAGGUGGUUUUCCCAGGGCGAGGCUCAUCCAUUGCACUGCGGGUGUGCUGACCCCUGCGAUUUCCCCAAAUGCAGGAAACUCGACUGCAUAAUUUGUGUUAGUGGGGGACUGCGUUCAUCCUCUCUCCUG